ACAGUACAAACUGAGCAGGCAAUAUCCCUGGGAUAUGUAGCCGGGCCGUGCAAACGGCAGCAGAAGAAGCAUAAGCGCAUCUGCGGGACAGU
This 92-nucleotide non-coding RNA is filed under the name bovine gut metagenome. RNAcentral's name for it is "NiCo riboswitch". It matches the Rfam family "NiCo (Nickel/Cobalt) riboswitch aptamer". The record is from RNAcentral.